AAAUGCCAUUUAAAAAGCAAUUCUUGCUGUGAAGGAAACAAAGCAAACGCAGCAAUGGUUAUUUAGAAGUGUGCUCUGUUUCUGCAUCCUGCAUGGGAGCUUUUUCCUGUGAAGGAAUGUUUAAUAUCACGUGGAGAAUAAAGAGAAGUGAACUGGCAGAGCAGUGAGUGGGAUCCUUUCACACCCUCUCGAGGUAGCUCAGAUUUAUUUUAUUUACCUCAUCUCCAAAACCCCUUGCCCAGCACUGAGAUUUGUCCUUUCUGUGCCGUUUUAUCGUUUAUUUUAAAAAAGAGCCCAUUGUGCCUCGAGCCUUCCUGUCCCUGCUCCUUUGUGCCUUUUUCCUGUUCCAGAUGUUGUCCCACAGGGCUCCUCUGGAACUCGCUGCUCCCUUGGGGUUUAGUUGCUUUUUUUGGGGACAAUUUGUGACAAGAGGCACAGGAAAGCUGCCUCUCCUUCCCAGCCUGGCCCUGCUCC
Molecule: non-coding RNA, 474 nt
Organism: Sturnus vulgaris (Common starling)
Lineage: Eukaryota; Metazoa; Chordata; Aves; Passeriformes; Sturnidae
Source: RefSeq, a predicted model, not a curated record